Molecule: ribosomal RNA, 506 nt
Filed under: uncultured Planctomycetota bacterium
Lineage: Bacteria; Pseudomonadati; Planctomycetota
Description: bacterial SSU rRNA
Rfam family: Bacterial small subunit ribosomal RNA
Source: RNAcentral
AUACGUAUGUGGCGAGCGUUGUUCGGAAUCACUGGGCAUAAAGAGUUCGUAGGCGGAUGCGUCAGUUGGGUGUGAAAUCCCGGGGCUUACCCUCGGAACUGCACUCAAUACUGCGUAUCUGGAGUCCUUCAGGGGUAAGUGGAAUUCCAUGUGUAGCGGUGAAAUGCGUAGAUAUAUGGGGAGAACGCCAAUGGCGAAGGCAGCUUACUGGGGAGUGACUGACGCUGAGGAACGAAAGUUAGGGUAUCGAACGGGAUUAGAUACCCCGGUAGUCCUAACCGUAAACGGUGUGCACUAGUUGUCGGUCCGUUCUGACGGAUCGGUGACGUAGCUAAUGCGUUAAGUGCACCGCCUGGGUAGUACGAUCGCAAGGUUGAAACUCAAAGGAAUUGACGGGGCUCACACAAGCGGUGGAGCAUGUUGCUUAAUUCGAAGCAACGCGAAGAACCUUACCUGGGCUUGAACUGGUAGGGAUUAUCUCUGUGAAAGCAGAGUACGUCUUUUUA